Molecule: non-coding RNA, 73 nt
Organism: Myotis lucifugus (little brown bat)
Lineage: Eukaryota; Metazoa; Chordata; Mammalia; Chiroptera; Vespertilionidae
Source: Rfam
GCCUGUUUGGCUCAGUGGAUAGAGCAUUGGCCUGUGGACUAAAGGGUACUGGGUUCAAGUCCAGUCAUGGGCA